This 465-nucleotide ribosomal RNA is filed under the name Vreelandella stevensii. RNAcentral describes it as "partial 16S ribosomal RNA". It matches the Rfam family "Bacterial small subunit ribosomal RNA", at positions 338 to 795 of the family's 1533-position model. Lineage: Bacteria; Pseudomonadati; Pseudomonadota; Gammaproteobacteria; Oceanospirillales; Halomonadaceae. The record is from RNAcentral.
CCUACGGGGGGCAGCAGUGGGGAAUAUUGGACAAUGGGCGAAAGCCUGAUCCAGCCAUGCCGCGUGUGUGAAGAAAGCCUUCGGGUUGUAAAGCACUUUCAGUGGGGAAGAAAGCCUUGGGGCUAAUACCCUCGAGGAAGGACAUCACCCACAGAAGAAGCACCGGCUAACUCCGUGCCAGCAGCCGCGGUAAUACGGAGGGUGCGAGCGUUAAUCGGAAUUACUGGGCGUAAAGCGCGCGUAGGCGGUCUGAUAAGCCGGUUGUGAAAGCCCCGGGCUCAACCUGGGAACGGCAUCCGGAACUGUCAGGCUAGAGUGCAGGAGAGGAAGGUAGAAUUCCCGGUGUAGCGGUGAAAUGCGUAGAGAUCGGGAGGAAUACCAGUGGCGAAGGCGGCCUUCUGGACUGACACUGACGCUGAGGUGCGAAAGCGUGGGUAGCAAACAGGAUUAGAUACCCUAGUAGUC